GUGCCAGCAGCCGCGGUAAUACGUAGGGUGCAAGCGUUAAUCGGAAUUACUGGGCGUAAAGCGUGCGCAGGCGGUUUUGUAAGACAGUGGUGAAAUCCCCGGGCUCAACCUGGGAACUGCCAUUGUGACUGCAAGGCUAGAGUGCGGCAGAGGGGGAUGGAAUUCCGCGUGUAGCAGUGAAAUGCGUAGAUAUGCGGAGGAACACCGAUGGCGAAGGCAAUCCCCUGGGCCUGCACUGACGCUCAUGCACGAAAGC
RNAcentral lists this ribosomal RNA (256 nucleotides) under uncultured Burkholderiales bacterium. RNAcentral's name for it is "partial 16S ribosomal RNA". It matches the Rfam family "Bacterial small subunit ribosomal RNA", at positions 505 to 760 of the family's 1533-position model. Lineage: Bacteria; Pseudomonadati; Pseudomonadota; Betaproteobacteria; Burkholderiales. The record is from RNAcentral.